GGAACUUAGAAGUACUUAAUGUUCUAUAAGUAUAUCAGCCAUGUUUGAACACGAUGUUCAAACAAGCCGCCACUGAGCCAUGGAUGGCGAAUUGGCGGCGGUGGCGUGAAUAAUCAGUGAAGUGAAUUAGAACAUUUAGUACUUCUUAGUUGCA
Molecule: non-coding RNA, 154 nt
Filed under: bovine gut metagenome
Source: RNAcentral